Molecule: ribosomal RNA, 491 nt
Filed under: uncultured bacterium
Lineage: Bacteria
Description: partial 16S ribosomal RNA
Rfam family: Bacterial small subunit ribosomal RNA
Source: RNAcentral
AGUGAACGCUGGCGGUAGGCCUAACACAUGCAAGUCGAACGGCAGCACAGUAAGAGCUUGCUCUUACGGGUGGCGAGUGGCGGACGGGUGAGGAAUACAUCGGAAUCUACUUUUUCGUGGGGGAUAACGUAGGGAAACUUACGCUAAUACCGCAUACGACCUACGGGUGAAAGCAGGGGAUCUUCGGACCUUGCGCGAUUGAAUGAGCCGAUGUCGGAUUAGCUAGUUGGCGGGGUAAAGGCCCACCAAGGCGACGAUCCGUAGCUGGUCUGAGAGGAUGAUCAGCCACACUGGAACUGAGACACGGUCCAGACUCCUACGGGAGGCAGCAGUGGGGAAUAUUGGACGAUGGGCGCAAGCCUGAACCAGCCAUACCGCGUGGGUGAAGAAGGCCUGCGGGUUGUAAAGCCCUUUUGUUGGGAAAGAAAAGCAGCAGGUUAAUACCCCGCUGUUCUGACGGUACCCAAAGAAUAAGCACCGGCUAACUUCGU